This 220-nucleotide long non-coding RNA is filed under the name Anas platyrhynchos platyrhynchos (common mallard). RNAcentral describes it as "lncRNA (ENSAPLG00000030983.1)". Lineage: Eukaryota; Metazoa; Chordata; Aves; Anseriformes; Anatidae. The record is from RNAcentral.
UUCCUUAGAACUAUUUUCAGCAGUUUCAUAUUUUUUCAUGUGAUGGAUUACUUGUUUCCCUCCUUCCCUUGUAAAAUCAUCUGAUACUGACUUUAAAGUAAGCUGCCCAAGUCCAUGGAAAUGUACCGUGCUAUUUGAUCAUAAAGUAGGACUCAUGGCAAUGGAUGCUGCUUUAACAAGUGAAAUAACCCAACAAAUAAGGAAGCAAGAAUUUCAUUCA